Populus trichocarpa (black cottonwood) is the source of this 1300-nucleotide long non-coding RNA. RefSeq lists it as uncharacterized. Lineage: Eukaryota; Viridiplantae; Streptophyta; Magnoliopsida; Malpighiales; Salicaceae. The transcript has 3 exons. The record is from RefSeq and is a predicted model, not a curated record.
UAUGUAUACCGGAGAGUCAAUGCCGUGUUCGCUGGGAACAGGUUCUUGUUUAGCAAUAAGAACGAGAUGGUAGCCAAGUUCGCUGAAGAAGCUGUUGAAGUCAAGCUUGGUUGAUGCAGUUGGUGGUGACGCUAAGAGGAUGAGGAUGAUACUCUUGACACUCACUGAUCGAGAUGCACUCAAAGCGGUUCAUAGACAGGAUGGAUUUGGCCACACGAAACCAUAUUAGGACACACUGGGAAGGUAUAUUAGGAUACUCUUAACAUUUGCUUGUGACUGCAGAUGCAUCUUGUAGUCAUGAUAUUCUCGACAACAUGCUGCUGUUUCUCUUUGGUAGUCAUGACACUAAUACAUCAGUCAUAACAUGUAUCAUGAAGUAUCUUGUAGAAUUUCCGCAAGAGUACAAAAUGUUUUAGAAAGAGCAGGUUGAUAUUGCCAAGUCUAAAGAACCAGGAGAGUUGUUGAAAUGGGAGUACUUUCAGAAAAUGAGAUGCUCAUGGAAUGUGAUCUCUGAAGUUCUGAGCUGAUGCUGCCUAUGCGUGGUACUUUUAGAGAGGUUUUAGAUGAUUUCACCUAUGCAGGUUAUACAAUCCCAAUACGAUGGAAGCUACACUGGAGUCCUGUCUCAACAACUAAUGACCCAGUUCUCUUCUCAAAUGCAGAAGACUUUGAUCACUCCAGGUAUGAAGGAGCAGGACACCUGCCCCAUAUUCGCGUGCUCCAUUUGGUGGGGGAGCAAGGAUUUGCAUGGGGAAUGAAUACGCUAGACCACAAAUACUCGUGUUCCUGCAUAAUAUUGUGAAGAGAUUGAAAUGGGAUUUGCUGAUUCGUGAUGAGAGACUUACAUGUCAUCCCUUGCCUGCACCAUCCCAAGGUUUCCAAUUCGUCUUCACUGACACCAAUCCUCGGCCUAAGAUCAUGGUCACUUUCAUGACCGUACUCAUGUUGAAAGUACAAUAUUUCCAAUUAGUUUGGCUGUUAAAUAGUACUAUUUAUUUCUCAUAUUCAACAAGUCCACAAUCCAGAACUGAGAAUCCUAAUUCUGAUGUUCAAAGAAACAGGUUUAUCUUGUUCUCAUAUCUUUUUCGUUUGAAUGUGUCGGACUAUUAUGCGUGUGAUUGCGUAAACUCGACUUAUGGGAUUGUGUAGGCUUGAGUUAUGGCUUAAUACGAGGGACUCGAUACGAGGCUUAAUCUGUGAGAUUGUUUGAUGACAUUGGCUAUUCAAGAGUCAAGUAUUGUGCAUAAAUAGGAUUAUAACUCUUCAAAUUUAUGUAAGUUAAUCAAGAUGUACUCUUUAU